UACAGAGGGUGCGAGCGUUGUCCGGAAUUACUGGGCGUAAAGCGUGCGCAGGCGGUCUGUUAAGACCGAUGUGAAAUCCCCGGGCUUAACCUGGGAACUGCAUUGGUGACUGGCAGGCUUUGAGUGUGGCAGAGGGAGGUAGAAUUCCACGUGUAGCAGUGAAAUGCGUAGAGAUGUGGAGGAAUACCGAUGGCGAAGGCAGCCUCCUGGGCCAACACUGACGCUCAUGCACGAAAGCGUGGGGAGCAAACAGG
Molecule: ribosomal RNA, 254 nt
Filed under: uncultured bacterium
Lineage: Bacteria
Description: partial 16S ribosomal RNA
Rfam family: Bacterial small subunit ribosomal RNA
Source: RNAcentral